This 452-nucleotide long non-coding RNA is filed under the name Brassica napus (rape). Its description in RNAcentral is "long non-coding RNA (BNAP_LNC007781)". The record is from RNAcentral. Lineage: Eukaryota; Viridiplantae; Streptophyta; Magnoliopsida; Brassicales; Brassicaceae.
AGGUUUUUUGCAUAGGUUUAUGCCCCUAAAAAUUUACUCUGACCCCCCAAAUUUUUUAGAGUUCUUAAGAAAUGUUUCAAGCCCCCAAAUUCUCAGAUCUGGCCCUGAUUAAACACAGAUGUAUGACAUCACAGCUAACAAUGAAGAUCGAGAGGAAGCAAACACAACACAAAGAGAGAAAAUAUCUCCGGUAAUCAAAACUCUUGGAGCAACAUAAGAGUUCAUAUGGUGAACAGGAUGAAAAAAACACAGCCGAACACAAAAUAAUGCCUUAACUUAACAAUGCGAAAUGUAAUUUUAGGAAUGUAUGAGCUUGUUCAUAAAACUACAUAUAUGUGAGAACAAAAUAAUAUACGCACUCAAGCAUUGGAUUGAAGCAAGAAGAUUAUAGCUCCCAUUUUAUCAAUCGACUACCUCGUUGAUCUUGACCACAGAUGGCAUCACCAGCUUUC